RNAcentral lists this long non-coding RNA (565 nucleotides) under Lathyrus oleraceus (garden pea). Its description in RNAcentral is "Pisum sativum (pea) long non-coding RNA (PSAT_LNC027063)". The record is from RNAcentral. Lineage: Eukaryota; Viridiplantae; Streptophyta; Magnoliopsida; Fabales; Fabaceae.
AAAGAGGAAAGAAGAGCUUGGAGGAAAGGAAGAAAACCCAUGGAGAAUCAUCAUUUUCACCACCAUCAUCAUGUCAUCUUCACUCUCACCUUCACCAAACUUCAUCUUCUUCUUCUACAAGGUGAGUUCUUAGACAGAUUUAGCAUUUGGGGGGAAAUAACCUAUAUUUUGGGGGGUUAGGAUUUGUGUGAAUUUGUGAUGAACUUGUUGUGUUCAUACUCAUCAUCCAUGCUAUGUGUUGAUAUCAUGUUGUUGUUGUUGAAGUUGUGAUCCUUGAGUGUGUGAUGAUUAUGUGUUUUGUUGUUGAAGUUAUGGAGGUUAAUCAUAUGAUUUCAUAACAAUAUAUGUUUUAGUAUGGGUUUGGAGGGUUGAAAUUGGAAAAAUGAUUCCUUUGUAUUUUUGAGAAUAAUUCACAUUCAAUCGAUUGAUUCAUUUGAUCAAUCUAUUGACAUGAAUUAAUUAUUUGAUGAAUUAAAAUAUGUCACUAAUGGGGUUCAAACCCGUGACCUCCUUGGUAUGGUACAAGCCUUACCACUAGGCCAAGGAUGUUGUUAUGUAUACUUAU